This 69-nucleotide transfer RNA is filed under the name Ictidomys tridecemlineatus (thirteen-lined ground squirrel). RNAcentral's name for it is "Spermophilus tridecemlineatus (thirteen-lined ground squirrel) tRNA". It matches the Rfam family "tRNA". Rfam says of the family: Transfer RNA (tRNA) molecules are approximately 80 nucleotides in length. Their secondary structure includes four short double-helical elements and three loops (D, anti-codon, and T loops). Further hydrogen bonds mediate the characteristic L-shaped molecular structure. tRNAs have two regions of fundamental functional importance: the anti-codon, which is responsible for specific mRNA codon recognition, and the 3' end, to which the tRNAs corresponding amino acid is attached (by aminoacyl-tRNA synthetases). tRNAs cope with the degeneracy of the genetic code in two manners: having more than one tRNA (with a specific anti-codon) for a particular amino acid; and 'wobble' base-pairing, i.e. permitting non-standard base-pairing at the 3rd anti-codon position. Lineage: Eukaryota; Metazoa; Chordata; Mammalia; Rodentia; Sciuridae. The record is from Rfam by way of RNAcentral.
GGGGCUGUAGCUCAGUGAUAGAGUGCUUGCCUAGCAUGCGUGAGGCACUGGGUUCAAUCCUCAGCACCA